RNAcentral lists this ribosomal RNA (125 nucleotides) under Pezicula neocinnamomea. RNAcentral's name for it is "partial small subunit ribosomal RNA". It matches the Rfam family "Eukaryotic small subunit ribosomal RNA", at positions 1657 to 1779 of the family's 1831-position model. Lineage: Eukaryota; Fungi; Ascomycota; Leotiomycetes; Helotiales; Dermateaceae. The record is from RNAcentral.
CCUUUGUACACACCGCCCGUCGCUACUACCGAUUGAAUGGCUAAGUGAGGCUUUCGGACUGGCCUAGGGAGAGCGGCAACGUUCACCCAGGGCCGGAAAGUUGUCCAAACUUGGUCAUUUAGAGG